Molecule: RNA transcript, 6178 nt
Organism: Puntigrus tetrazona (Sumatra barb)
Lineage: Eukaryota; Metazoa; Chordata; Actinopteri; Cypriniformes; Cyprinidae
Gene: bloc1s2
Gene name: biogenesis of lysosomal organelles complex-1, subunit 2
Exons: 8
Source: RefSeq, a predicted model, not a curated record
UUUUUAAAUUGGCAGAGUUGUCACGCGGCCCCACCCAUAUCUGUAUAUGAAACAUGUGUUUUUUGACCUAUACUUUAUUAAUUAUAACCCUUGAUGAGAUUUCACAGCUCGUAGUUAAGAACUGUGUCUGCAAGACAUGCCAAAACGAAUAUUACAUACAAAAGCACGAGUAUUAAAUCUGACUGAGUACUUUCAUUUUCAACAUAUUCUCGUAACGCUUCAAAAAAAGUCUUAUAUCAGUUUCGCUUACAUAACCAGAUUUUUUUUUAAAACGAUUCGGUUAUAUAUCAGUACAUAUAAAAGACCGAAACGAGGAGUCACGUGAAUCUGGUUCUAGUCAUGUGAUCAUGUGAGCUGAAAAUGGCAGCUACGGGGGACGAGGCCGCGGCGAUGGAGAGCAUCAGUAAAGCACCGGUUCCUCCGAGCGACCUCAACCUCUCCGCCGAGACCGAGCGCAGGAGAGACGCGGCCGCGAACGACGCAGCGGAGAACCAAAAGGCCAAAAGACCCAGUAAUAACAAUGACGGAGGAGUGGAGACGGCAGAGGAGGCCACUGAACCUGCAGAACCUGAUAUCAAUGAGCUCUGCAGAGACAUGUUUGACAAAAUGGCAGUUUUCUUACAGGGAGAGCUCACAGCAACCUGUGAGGAUUACAAACUCCUGGAGAACAUGAACAAGCUCACCAGUCUGAAGUACAUGGAGAUGAAGGACAUAUCCAUCAACAUCAGCCGAAAUCUACAGGAUCUCAAUCAGAAAUACGCCAGCUUGCAGCCUUAUCUGGAUCAGAUUAACCAGAUCGAGGAGCAGGUUACGGCUCUGGAACAGGCUGCUUAUAAACUAGACACGUAUUCAAAGAAACUGGAGGCCAAGUUUAAGAAACUGGAGAAGCGGUGAAAAUGACUAGGAACUCUUUCAAAGCGGUCAUCCUCAAAAUUACUAUCUGUGAUUGAAACCCGUCUCUUCACGUCCAGCAGAGGGCAUAGGAAGCCCACGCAUGGUCCAACUCAACCUUUAACCUGAAUUUGACUAUAAGCCACAGUGAUGGAUCCAGAGCCAUGUAUGUUUGGCAGAAAUGGGCUUCCAUAGGUAACAACUCAAUUUUCAAUUUUGAGAGAAUUCAAUCGAAAAAUGAAGUUUGCCUCGGUCAGUUCUUCAUCACUCUGAAGUUACUCAUCUAGUGCUCAGAGUAAUUAGAUCCUGGAAUGCUGCUUAUAACACUCACUUAAAAGGAAAGGAAAAGUAACUGAGCACAAUGACUCAAUCAACACUUCCCCCUCGGUCCACGGGGCUGAAAAGGCCGGAUUUAUGCUGUUAGUGGGCUUCGGCGAUGAGAGAUGCUCAUUGGUUAGUCACCCCCACCCACCCCACCCUCGGAGACUCUGUUUCUCUGGUGCUUAUAUGUAAAACAAGCUUAGUUUCAAACACAGAGCGUGUCUUUAACAAACAUCUGGCAUAUAUCUAUGAUUACAGUCAUAUUUUGUUCAUCACGAGUUGCUGUGUUUGCUGGCUGAACUGGGUGCUACACCCUCCGAAAUAGUUUUAACAUUGCGGGGCAAAUCCCGGGCAGAGCAGCAGAGGUCACGGAUACAGCCAUUCGUAUGCAUGUGGAUGUAGUGCUUAAUCACAUUUUUUGACAAGACUAAUUAUGAGCCCCUGUUCGAGUGGGUAAUUAGUGUUGAGUGGCGCUAAUGUUCUAGUUGCCUCCGGGGCUUUUAAGUCCGCUAACCUGUGCUAACCUACGCACUUUGAAUUACUGCCAACAUUGGGUUUCUGGCAUUAUUUAGGACCGGCACAUUGACUAAUGGGCCAACAUUUUUUCUAAAAGGCAUGUUUUAUAUGUACGGGUUAACAUACAAUAUAUUAUGACAGGCAGUACCAUUUAGUGAUGCAGCUUUAAAAACUGUGCACUUGUACCCUUAAUGAUAUACAUCACAUAAGCAGUACUGACAGAUUAGACCAACAGCACAAUGUGAUAUUUCUUUAACAAAACGGUACAUUUAAACAAAGUUAAUAUUCAGUGACUUAGACUUCAGGCAAACAACCGCUGUCGGUGAAAAUAGUUAGCAGCAGUAACACAAACUGGUUGUAUUUCUGAAUGAAUCAGUUAAGCGAAUGAAUCAAUGACACUCACUUGUUUCGUUCCUCAAUAAAGCAGUGUCGUUGAAUGAAUCAGUUGAGUUCAUGAUUCAGUGAUUCACAUAUCAAAAUAUGAUACUAUAGACAAAACAUAGUAUUUUAAAGAAUAAAUUGCUGCUGCUUCCAGUGAGCUUAAAGUAUUGGACACUACACUUUAAGGCCGCAGGAGAGGAUUCGUGAUAACCGACACUUGUAGGUUAUGAGGAGGAGAGAAUGUAGGAUUGUAGGAGACAAUGAAAACAUAAUGAAGUAUGUUCGGAUUAAGUACAUACUACACACAUCCAUACUAUAUAGAACAUGCAUUAUAAUGGUCACAAAGUAAUUACUCUUUCAAAAUAAGUACAAAGUUAGAGAGUAUGUGAGCCAAUCCAACUAAAUGGAUCAGUUUUGAAUGAAUCUGUAAAGUUGUCAAAAGAAUAGUUUGAGUUUAAGAUUCGAUGAUUCGCUGAAUUUGGAAAAGGUAGAGACAAGAAAUACAGAAACAGUAGUAGAGGAUUUAGUUCCAGAUUCAGACAUUUAAUCGUUUCUGAAAGAAAUCAGUGAGUUGAAUGAGUUAUUCAAUGAAUCGCUCUCAAGGACAGUCACUUGCUGCCACCUACUGGCACAGCAAUGUACUGAACCAGUUAUUGAUUGAAUCGAGGCAGAUCUCAAGAAUGAAAACUUGUAGUUAAUUGUAAAGAGAUCAAGAUCAAGUCAUUUUAAUAAAAAAGUAUGAUGUCAACAACAAAAAAAAAAUUACCUAAUGAAAUGUAUGCAUGGAUGAUCUAUUCACAAUAAAAUUGAUGACAUCCACCCAUCGAUUCGGGAGAUCAAAAAAUAUGAAUUUAGAGAAGAGUUUGGGGGAUUUUAACAAAAAUAUAAUCCACUAUUAAAAUGAAACAAACACCGGCAAGCGCAGUGAUGCAAAGAGAGAAACCUGGUUGCUGUUACAUCAGCCCUCUUGGAACAAAAUCCACCAAUCAAGUUUGAGGACCGGAACGAACCGUUGUAUAAAUGAAGUUCAAUGCCAAAUCUCAGUGUGCUUUAUACUCUCUGUGUGAAAUACGCACUAAUACUGACACCUUCAAUGUCAUAACACACACACAAAAAAAGAUGAAAAGAGGAUUAUUUCAUUCCAAACAUGUGCUAAGGCCAACACAAAUCGGGUCUAAAUUAUUGAAGUGCAUUUCAGUGAAAGAAAAUGGCAAUAUGUCUAAAAGCAGAUGAUCUCUGUGUUGUAAAUGGCCGAUUGCCCGAUUCGGCCGCAGAAAAACACAUUAGCGCACCACAAAUGUGACAUGCAUGAACUCCUUCAACCUCAACAGAUUCUUCACCGAUGGGUUCAGAAGAAACACGGAGCUCGUAAAGCCGUGUGCGCUCACGAAUCAUUCAGAAUCUGUAUUUCUAUUAUGAGACACUUUAUUGCGAAAGAUGAAUUCGAAGAUGUCAUUUUUUUUAUUUGAUCUCUUUGAAAAAAUUACAUUUUGAUGCAAAAAUAACAUGUUUUGUCACAUUUAAUGACACAUAAAAUAAUGUUUUGUGAAAACAGGGGAAAUUAUAUGACAAACAACCGAACUGUGACCGCUUAAUGGCUUUUGCCUACCUAAUACAAGCAACAACAUAUUUGGGUUGUUGUGUACUUAUAAACACAUUUGGUUUCCUGUGCUGGCGUAUGACUCACCAUCCGACAGUUGUGUUUAAUUUAAGACGUGAGUGCGUGAUGCUAACAAUAUGCUAGCCUUCCUUUCAUCAAACAAUUCUUUAGUCAUAAGCCAUAGCCUUGAACUCCCACGUGACAAUGAACUGUGCUUAAUUGCAUUGUAUGAUUUUACAGAUAACAGACAUAUUUAUGAAAUUACAUGCAAAAUGUGCUUAAGGCCUACCUAAGUGGGUCAAAAAGUAUAAAAAAUGUAAUUAUUUUACACUUCAAGCUUCAAAAUCGUUCUUGGGGUGCACUUAGCUAUAAUAAGGCGAAUGUUUUGUAGUUGUUUUUAUGAAGUUCUGUAAAAAGAGACAAUCUCUUUAUGGCAGAAACAAAUGCAUGUGCAAGAGCUAUUCACUGUAAUUAUGUAAUUAAUUAAAUUUCUUAGUAUGUUCUUUUAAAGUGUAGCCUAUUAUUUCCAUAAACAGUACUCUAUGCUAAAGUGUACUUGAGCUUCCAAAGCAAGUUGAACAAUCUCUGAUUUUAAAAACAGGAAAAACCACAAAGAACACCCCUUCAAAACUCUCGGGAAAAUGAUAUUUUCUGAGUAAAAGACAGCUACACUAGAAACUAGAGCACAUAGCCUUUAACAAAGUACAGAAAUUAAGAUCCAAGAUAGACUUUCUUUGAUGAGAAGAAGCGAUAAAGAGCUCCUUGGAAUUGUGUGAUUGGCGUUUGAAUUUGCGGUGAAAGAAAUUCCUGGUUUUCCUCUGGGAACACUGAACCACAGGACACCGCUUGUGCUGAAGUAAAUAAACAUACAUAAAUCUAAGUCCUUCCCCUGGGAGCCCGUGAGAGGUUGUGUUUGCGAGUGCGCGAUCGGGGAAACGCACGAAAUGUGUUAAAUGUGUAAGAGCUGAGAGAUUGGACAGAUCUAUUUAUCUGAAUGAAUUUGAUAGAAUUUGCAGGUACUUUUUUGUAACAAAAAUAUAUCUAGUUUUAAAAAUGAGAAAUAACUGAUGUUAUUUUCUGCGAGAACGGCGAGCUCUGGCUUCCUGGCUGACCUUUGACUCGACGUUUGAAGCAACUUAUGCGAUACGUCGAAUGUUGAGUCAAAAGUCAGCCAAGAAGCCGGAACUCGGUGCUCAGUCAGUUAUUUACGUUAUAAUUUUAAAACUAGAAAUAUUUUUUGUUACUAAAACCCUGCUGGACAUGUGAUAACACCUAGAGUGCUUCGGGUGAGUAAAAUAUUGGGCAGUUUUCAUUUGUGGGUGAACCAUGCCUUUAAUGCACUAUCAUGUUGUAAAAAUGCCCUACACCAAAUCCAACCCUAAACCUACCCGAUGGUGUUAACAAAUGCAAAACUGGUAUAAAAACACAUUUGUUGAUGCAACCUUGCCAUUUCAACUUCCUUUUAUGAAGAUUUGAACUAUUUUGUCGAGCCAUAGUUACAUAGUAAAGAGCUCCUCGCCUCUUAAAGGAAUAGUUGUGCACCCAGGUAUGUUUAUGCCAUGGGACCAGGUAGUCAGUAAAACAUACAAUUGUAUUUAAAACAUUUACAGGCCUAUAUAUAAUUAAAAGUUAAAGCACUGAAAUGCAAUUGCAGCUCCUUGUAGUAAAUGCCGCUUUUAAUUUCGAAGGCUUCAGAGUAUCCUUCCCCUAGCGCUGACCCACAGCUGGAUCCCUUCGGCGGGAGAGAGUGGAUUAUAGGAGAGGAUAUUGGGAUACUUUAGACCAGAACCCAAAUGCUCUUCUCACUAAUCAGAAGCAGACUGCAGUUCUGGUCACUACCCCUUCCUUCCCUUGUCACACACAAGCACGAAAACAAAACUACCCAUUUGACGUACAGUGUUGGGGCUACGGUCUCCACGCUCUGCUGCAGUAAACCCCAUCAGCGAGGGCGCAUAAUGCAUCCCUCCCACCAGGCCUGAGUAAUCAAAAACAGCUGCUGUGAUUAAAUGGGAUCUCCUAGCAGCAAAAAAACAUUAUUUAUGCUUUUGCCUUAUUAGCUUUUCUCAUUCGAUCUCCCUGUCCAUCUGUCUCUAGCGCGUGAUGUGAAUCACUCAAGGUUUCCCGUCAAUCACAGAACUGAUAAAUGAAGAAGCAUGCAGAACACGCAGAUAAGCCCGUUCCUGUAUGAUAGUGACUGAAGGAGACAAAUCGAUCAUGCACAUAACACACAAUUAUACACACAGAGGACAAUAGUUACAUUGCCUCAUAGAGUGUAGCACAUACUCUUACUCGAAACUCGACACUAUGUAGAGCAAACUGUUUGCAGGGCAUAUUUCAACAUUAACAAUGUCUAUUACAUAAAUGAUUUAGUUUAUUGAAUAUUGCAAUGUUUAGUUUUGCUACAAUAAACAGCGAGAAAUGCUACCUGAUGGUGAGUACACUUUAGUGUUUUUUACUUUUGUACUUUUG